GAUGAACGCUGGCGGCGUGCCUAAUACAUGCAAGUCGAGCGAACAGACGAGGAGCUUGCUCCUCUGAUGUUAGCGGCGGACGUGUGAGUAACACGUGGAUAACCUACCUAUAAGACUGGGAUAACUUCGGGAAACCGGAGCUAAUCCCGGAUAACAUGUUGAACCACAUGGUUCAACAGUGAAAUACGGUCUUGCUGUCACUUAUAGAUGGAUCCGCGCCGCAUUAGUUAGUUGGUAAGGUACCGGCUUACCAAGGCAACGAUGCGUAGCCGACCUGAGGGGGUGAUAGGGCACUGAGGAACUGAGAGACGGUCUAGAGUCCUACGGGAGGCAGAAGUAGGGAAUCUUCCGAAAUGGGCGAAAGCCUGAAGGAGCAACGCCGCGCGAGUGAAGAAGGGCUUCGGAUCGUAAAACUCUGUUAUUAGGGAAGAACAAAUGUGUAAGUAACGAUGCACGUGUGGACGGUACCUAAACAGAAAGACACGGCUAACUACGU
RNAcentral lists this ribosomal RNA (496 nucleotides) under uncultured bacterium. Its description in RNAcentral is "partial 16S ribosomal RNA". It matches the Rfam family "Bacterial small subunit ribosomal RNA", at positions 28 to 506 of the family's 1533-position model. The record is from RNAcentral.